Molecule: ribosomal RNA, 871 nt
Filed under: uncultured archaeon
Lineage: Archaea
Description: bacterial SSU rRNA
Rfam family: Archaeal small subunit ribosomal RNA
Source: RNAcentral
UUCCGGUUGAUCCUGCCGGAGGCUACCGCUAUUGGAAUCCGAUUAAGCCAUGCGAGUCGAGAGAUUUCGGAUCUCGGCAGACGUCUCAGUAACACGUGGAUAAUCUACCCUUGAGUGGGGGAUAAGCUUGGAAACCUGAGUAUAAUACCCCAUAGGCCUAGGAUGCUGGAAUGCUUCUAGGCUGAAAGCUCCGGCGCUCGAGGAUGGAUCUGCGGCCUAUCAGGCAGUAGUGGGUGUAACGGACCCACUAACCUUCGACGGGUACGGGCCUUGAGAGAGGUUGCCCGGAGUUGGACUCUGAGACACGAGUCCAGGCCCUACGGGGUGCAGCAGGCGCGAAAACUUCACAAUGUGGGAAACCACGAUGAGGGGAUUCCAAGUGCCAACACUUUGUGUUGGCUGUUCACUUGCCUAAAAAGCUGGUGAAGUAAGAGCCGGGUAAGACGGGUGCCAGCCGCCGCGGUAAUACCCGCGGCUCGAGUGGUGGCCACUAUUAUUGAGCCUAAAGCGUUCGUAGCCGGUUUCGUAAAUUUCUGGGUAAAUCGGGCAGCUUAACUGUCCGAAUUCCGGAAAGACUGCGAAACUUGGGACCGGAGGAGGUUGGAGGUACUCCUGGGAUAGGGGUGAAAUCCUGUAAUCCUGGGGGGACCACCAGUGGCGAAGGCGUCCAACCAAAACGGCUCCGACGGUAAGGGACGAAGCCCUGGGGCGCAAACGGGAUUAGAUACCCCGGUAGUCCAGGGUGUAAACGCUGCAGGCUUGGUGUUGGGGGUCCUACGAGGGCGCCCAGUGCCGGAGAGAAGUUGUUAAGCCUGCCGCUUGGGGAGUACGUCCGCAAGGAUGAAACUUAAAGGAAUUGGCGGGGGAGCAC